Molecule: long non-coding RNA, 841 nt
Organism: Syngnathoides biaculeatus (alligator pipefish)
Lineage: Eukaryota; Metazoa; Chordata; Actinopteri; Syngnathiformes; Syngnathidae
Exons: 3
Source: RefSeq, a predicted model, not a curated record
CCAGACUCUCGUCGGUGAUGGCCAUUAUUUGCUGGAGGAUAUCCCCGAUGUCUUGUUGGGGCUGGCCGAGGGAUUGCUGUUUUCGAACCGAGUCCGGGUCCCCCACGUCGCCCGGCUGUAGUCCGCCAAGUCCGCGCCGUGGUUCAGCUGGUAAAGCAGUUCUGAGGUCCCGGGUUCAAUCCCGGACCCACAUUUGUGGAGUUUGCAUGUUCCCCGAGUGUCUACGUGGGUUUUCUCCGGUGAGCUGCGAGCAGACAAAAUCGCCCAUCUGAUAAUGCCAAAGUGGUUACAUUCCCAUCACGCAAAAGACAACGCACCCCAAAAGCAAAACAGAAGAGAAUCAGUCUUCCUCCAGCAAGCGACCAAAACAUCGCAUCAGUUUCCAGUUUGAAAAUGAUGACAGCACAGAUUGAAAAACUGGUGUCCUCGUGUCCCGUUUUUUUUUUUUUUUUUUGCAAACUGGGCAAUUCUGCUGCAGUUUAUCACUCAGAUCAGAGAGACGGCCUUCCAAGACGAAUGGCUGCAUGGACGCGGGUGUGAAAGGAAAGGCCGAUGCAGCGGGCCCGGAUGUGCUGAGGAGAUGAUGGGUGUGCAUAUGAGGCAGGAGCAACCAAACCGGCGCCACUUUUAUGCUGACGCUCCGCACAUCAGUCCGCAGCAAUCUGGGCCUAAUCAAUCUCAAACCGGAGAGAGCGAGAAUAAGGAAAGGGGGUUGGGGGGGGACGCUAAUAGCGCUAAUAGUACAGUCGUACAAAUAAAGUUGAACGCUCCUGAUGUCGUAGCAUUCUGAAUACAACUGUGACAAUAAUUUUAUCCAGGACUGAUUGUACUGUUUUAUUUU